CGGACGGGUGAGUAAUGCUUGGGAAUCUGGCUUAUGGAGGGGGAUAACUACGGGAAACUGUAGCUAAUACCGCGUAAUAUCUUCGGAUUAAAGGGUGGGACCGUAAGGCCACCUGCCAUAAGAUGAGCCCAAGUGGGAUUAGGUAGUUGGUGGGGUAAAGGCCUACCAAGCCGACGAUCUCUAGCUGGUCUGAGAGGAUGACCAGCCACACUGGAACUGAGACACGGUCCAGACUCCCUACGGAGGCAGCAGUGGGGAAUAUUGCACAAUGGGGGGAACCCUGAUGCAGCCAUGCCGCGUGAAUGAAGAAGGGCUUCCGGUUGUAAAGUUCUUUCCGUGAUGAAGAAGGCGGUUGGUUUAAUAGAACAAUCGAUUGACGUUAGUCACAGAAGAAGCACCGGCUAACUCCGUGCCAGCAGCCGCGGUAAUACGGAGGGUGCGAGCGUUAAUCCGAAUGACUGGGCGUAAAGGGCACGCAGGCGGUGACUUAAGUGAGAUGUGAAAGCCCCGGGCUUAACCUGGGAAUUGCAUUUCAUACUGGGUCGCUAGAGUAUUU
Molecule: ribosomal RNA, 556 nt
Filed under: uncultured Actinobacillus sp.
Lineage: Bacteria; Pseudomonadati; Pseudomonadota; Gammaproteobacteria; Pasteurellales; Pasteurellaceae
Description: bacterial SSU rRNA
Rfam family: Bacterial small subunit ribosomal RNA
Source: RNAcentral